AUAUUGCACAAUGGAGGGAACUCUGACGCAGCGACGCCGCGUGAGCGAUGAAGGUCUUCGGAUCGUAAAGCUCUGUCCUUGGGGAAGAAGGUCUUCGGACUUGACGGUACCUAAGGAGGAAGCCCCGGCUAACUACGUGCCAGCAGCCGCGGUAAUACGUAGGGGGCAAGCGUUGUCCGGAAUUAUUGGGCGUAAAGGGUGCGUAGGCGGCCUUUUAAGUCAGAUGUGAAAGCCCACGGCUUAACCGUGGGACUGCAUUUGAAACUGGGGGACUUGAGUUAUGGAGAGGGGAGUGGAAUUCCUAGUGUAGCGGUGAAAUGCGUAGAUAUUAGGAGGAAUACCAGUGGCGAAGGCGACUUUCUGGACAUUAACUGACGCUGAGGAACGAAAGCGUGGGGAGCAAACA
This 406-nucleotide ribosomal RNA is filed under the name uncultured bacterium. RNAcentral describes it as "partial 16S ribosomal RNA". It matches the Rfam family "Bacterial small subunit ribosomal RNA", at positions 361 to 774 of the family's 1533-position model. The record is from RNAcentral.